This 504-nucleotide ribosomal RNA is filed under the name uncultured bacterium. RNAcentral describes it as "partial 16S ribosomal RNA". It matches the Rfam family "Bacterial small subunit ribosomal RNA", at positions 28 to 523 of the family's 1533-position model. The record is from RNAcentral.
GAUAAACGCCAGCGGCAGGCUUAACACAUGCAAGUCGAGGGGCAGCAUAGAUUGUAGCAAUACAAUUGGUGGCGACCGGCGCACGGGUGCGUAACGCGUAUGCAACCUACCCGUCACAGGGGGAUAAUCCGGAGAAAUCUGGUCUAAUACCCCAUAACAUAUGGAUCGGCAUCGGUUCAUGUUGAAAUAUUAGGCGGUGACGGAUGGGCAUGCGUAGCAUUAGCUUGUUGGUGAGGUAACGGCACACCAAGGCGACGAUGCUUAGGGGGACUGAGAGGUUUUCCCCCCACACUGGUACUGAGACACGGACCAGACUCCUACGGGAGGCAGCAGUGAGGAAUAUUGGUCAAUGGGCGCAAGCCUGAACCAGCCAUGCCGCGUGCAGGAUGACGGCUCUAUGAGUUGUAAACUGCUUUUGUACGAGGGUAAAGUGGGUUACGAGUAACCUUUUGAAAGUAUCGUACGAAUAAGGAUCGGCUAACACCGUGCCAGCCGCCGCCGUAA